UCACUUUAAGACGCGAAGGGUUAGGUUUGCUGCUGGUGUGAAUGCGUUCACGCAGGCAGGAAGAUCCGCCCAGAGAGUCAGACACACGGGCAGUAAUGAAUGGAGCCUGACCCGCAGGCGGCUGGAUAUUGACGAUAAACGUGUCUUGAGCGCUAGCGACNGGCCGUGGGGGGUUUUCCUGCUGAAAGGUUUCGUUAGUAGCGCUAAGGGAGUUCAGGAUUGUGCUGAGAUGCCACAGAAACCAGACUCGCCCAGACAGUAGCAGACUAGACACACCUGAGCAGACAGGUGGCAGCCCUACCCUCUACACAGCACCAGGCUGGACUCCAAAUCAUAUAUUAGGAGGAUUUGAGUUGGCGUGCAUGAGAGAUUGUCACGUUAAACACGAGCAGCACUAACGCAGACACAACCUGGAGCGUCUUAUAUAACUGAGAAAGCUCUCCUGCAUCAGUGAGUGCUCUUAUGUGAAGUGCUCUGAUUUUAUUCUACCCCUGUCAAUGUUAUGUCUGUCCAUGUUGACUCACAGCAGUCAUACAGUACAAUAUACAUCUCAGUGAUGGAUCAUCAUAGAUCUAUUGAAUAAAAAAUUGUGCAUUAAAGGAAUAGUUCACCCAAAAAUAAAAAUUUACUGAAAAUUUGCUCUUAGCCCA
RNAcentral lists this long non-coding RNA (650 nucleotides) under Sinocyclocheilus anshuiensis. Its description in RNAcentral is "lncRNA (ENSSANG00000022591.1)". The record is from RNAcentral. Lineage: Eukaryota; Metazoa; Chordata; Actinopteri; Cypriniformes; Cyprinidae.